RNAcentral lists this ribosomal RNA (253 nucleotides) under uncultured bacterium. RNAcentral's name for it is "partial 16S ribosomal RNA". It matches the Rfam family "Bacterial small subunit ribosomal RNA", at positions 524 to 776 of the family's 1533-position model. The record is from RNAcentral.
UACGUAGGGCGCAAGCGUUGUCCGGAAUUAUUGGGCGUAAAGAGCUCGUAGGCGGCUUGUCACGUCGAUUGUGAAAGCCCGAGGCUUAACCUCGGGUCUGCAGUCGAUACGGGCUAGCUAGAGUGUGGGAGGGGAGAUCGGAAUUCCUGGUGUAGCGGUGAAAUGCGCAGAUAUCAGGAGGAACACCGGUGGCGAAGGCGGAUCUCUGGGCCAUUACUGACGCUGAGGAGCGAAAGCGUGGGGAGCGAACAGG